Molecule: long non-coding RNA, 509 nt
Organism: Lampris incognitus (smalleye Pacific opah)
Lineage: Eukaryota; Metazoa; Chordata; Actinopteri; Lampriformes; Lampridae
Exons: 3
Source: RefSeq, a predicted model, not a curated record
CGCAGACCGGGUUGGUGGGGACGCCCCGAGCGGAGCGGAGCGGCGGUGCCGCACCUGUUGACACGGUGGACAAAGUUGUGUUUGUCGUGUCCAGCAGAGCAAACCUGACAACACGUCCUUCACUAAGGCUGCGCAAGUCUGAGCUGGACCAGAGAGAGGAACCAGACCAAGGAUGCCUUUCCGAGGGGAGCUCCUUGCCGGCCCUUCCUAAUAGAAAGAACUGCAGUUUCAGCUGACAGUGAGUCAUACGAGAGGCAGUCAUGGGACCAGGGAGGCCCCAUCUGAGAGCGUUGGCUGUGGUUAUGAUGUCCUGCCUUUUCUAUAUCAGUGAAAGCGCGAGGCCAGAGGUGCGUGGAAAAGUGGGGGGUGUGGUGGAGCUGGAGUGUGGCGUGCCUCCCCCAGACCCAGCGGGGUCCUCCUCUCUGCAUGUGGUCGAAUGGGUGCGACAGGGAAUCGACAUCCCCGUGCUGAUCAAAUUUGGGGCGUACGCGCCACGUGUGCAUCCAAAU